GAGGAGAACAGCAGCGGAACACACGACAGAAACACAAAGUCAUUUUUCUAGAUUUAGCAUUUGCAAACCUCAACCUCAUCUGGAAGUCAUUUUAAUUACUGUAAACCAUCCGAUUGAAAGUUCAUUCUCGACCUUAGAAACAGCAACGAGUUUAACAUAAGGUCUCUUCCGUAGCAGAUGACGUUGCUCAAUUGUCAUGAAAAUGUGGAUUAUGAAAUGUGUCUUUAUUUUUUUCAGAGGAAGAGCAUGUGAUACAAAUGAAAGCUCCAGGACAUCUACUGUCUGGACCUUGUGGUGGGAUUGUUUUUCAUCAACUGCUGUUUUUAGGAGCAGGAAUGAACCUUCCAUCUUAUUUUUUAAGCUAACAAGGCUAAAGGUGCUAAAGUGUCAUCUGCUGAAGAAUGAUCGUAUGAUAUGACUGAAAGCUCCAGAACAGCCCCUGAGAGGACCUUGUGGUUAAAAUAAUCAUUAAAGCGCGCGGCGGAUGGACACCCUCUGCUCCAGGUCCUUGACCUCCCUCUCGUGCUGUGUGUCGGUGUGGAUCUUGAUCUUGCUCUGGUAGGCGUUGAGCAGCUCCAGCUCCUGCUGCAGCUGCAUCCGCAGCACCUUGUACUCCGCUUCCUGGGUCUCAUCCAAUCGCAGCUAAGAGGAAAGAAACAGGAGGGAACGUGAUGAAAAUGGAUUUGGCGGGAUUGUAAGAGCAAGAAAUUUUUGCUUUAGUGUCGCAAGGGUAGAGGAGGAAAAGCUUAGAAAGUUUGACAAACGUAAAGAAAAGAGAGAGGGAGGGAGAUGCACCAGAGAGACGAGGAGAGGAUCAGGAGUGUGAGUGUGAGCAGAUGGGUUUGUUAAAUGAGUGUUUUGUCUCAUUUGUGCCUGCAGACACUGAAAGGACUAUUUAACAGGAUGAAGUGAAACUAUUUUUUUUUCAGUGUAUAUGUGAGAAAUUGUCAAAUAAAAUCACAACCAAGUGGAUUUAUUUCAAGCUUCAUUGCAUAUUUUACUCAUGAACUAAAAUGCAGAUAUAAUUUCAAAAUGUGUGAAUAUAAAAAAAAAAAAUAAAAAAACUGUAGAAAAGUUAUCUGAAUAAAUCACAAAAUGUUGAACUAC
Molecule: long non-coding RNA, 1107 nt
Organism: Seriola aureovittata
Lineage: Eukaryota; Metazoa; Chordata; Actinopteri; Carangiformes; Carangidae
Exons: 2
Source: RefSeq, a predicted model, not a curated record